RNAcentral lists this transfer RNA (77 nucleotides) under Paracidobacterium acidisoli. RNAcentral's name for it is "tRNA-Val". It matches the Rfam family "tRNA". Rfam says of the family: Transfer RNA (tRNA) molecules are approximately 80 nucleotides in length. Their secondary structure includes four short double-helical elements and three loops (D, anti-codon, and T loops). Further hydrogen bonds mediate the characteristic L-shaped molecular structure. tRNAs have two regions of fundamental functional importance: the anti-codon, which is responsible for specific mRNA codon recognition, and the 3' end, to which the tRNAs corresponding amino acid is attached (by aminoacyl-tRNA synthetases). tRNAs cope with the degeneracy of the genetic code in two manners: having more than one tRNA (with a specific anti-codon) for a particular amino acid; and 'wobble' base-pairing, i.e. permitting non-standard base-pairing at the 3rd anti-codon position. RNAcentral also lists the same sequence under 1 other name. Lineage: Bacteria; Pseudomonadati; Acidobacteriota; Terriglobia; Terriglobales; Acidobacteriaceae. The record is from RNAcentral.
AGGCGCGUAGCUCAGCUGGUUAGAGCGCUACCUUGACACGGUAGAGGUCAGCGGUUCGAAUCCGCUCGUGCCUACCA